UUUUGCAGAUGCAUGCAAGUCUGUAUUUUUGUGAGUUCUUUCCUUUUAGAUGCUUAUUCUGCUUUGUCAGCCCAGGCUAUAGCUCCUAUUUAAGUAUAGGUCUUACUAUCAUGGUGUACACCAUUCUUCUGUGAUUUUUAGCCCCUCUUGUAUUAUAUCGCAGAGUUUCCUCGAAUUUUCCCCUGGCAGUCAGUACUAUGUCGUCCACAUAUCCCUGACAUUUUAACCCUGUGCAGUUCAGGGUCUUGAGCAGUUCAUCAACUGUUAGGCUCCAUAGAAGAGGUGAUAGUAUAUCUCCUUGAAGACAUCCCUUGAUUGUGCUAAUUUCUAUAGUGUCUGUUCCUAUAUUUGUUUCAGCUAGUUCUUAGCAUUUCUCCAAUCCAUCUGGAUGUGGUUUGGUAUACGUGUCAUUGAUGCAUUGCCGAAGGCUCCCUCAAUAUCGAGGAACGCACAGAUUGCUAUUUCCUUUGUUCCCAGUGUUUCCUUUAGGUCACUUGUUAGCUGGUACAGUGUAAUUUCUACCAGUGAUGUCGUUCUUAUAUGGUUGUUUAUCAGCUUUUCAAGGGUUUUUAGUAGAAAGGAUGUUAAGCUGAUUGAUCUGUAGGAUUUAGGAGUGGAGGAUCUCUUUUUUCGACUUUCGGUAUAAACACUACCUUUGCCCUACGCCAUGUCUGUGGUAUAUAACCUAGUGCUAAGCUGCUUCUAUAUAAUCGCAUCAGUGUUGGAGUGAUUAUAUCCAUUCCUUUUUGUAGAAGGAUGGGAAAAAUCCCAUCCGUUCCCGGUGCUUUGUAUGGGCUGAAAGUGUUAAUCACCCAGAGGAUCUUUUUCUCUGUGACUAUUUCAGCUGCUUUCUUGCAAUUUUCUUUCUUGGGAUUAUCUACUCUCACAUUUUCUUGGGGGAUGUCAUAGGUGCUGCCUGGAAAAUGUGUACUUAAAAGGAGCAUUGUUUUUUGUUUCGCAUCUUCUGUAUAGUUACCUUCUACGUUCCUUAGGGCAGUGUUUAUAUCUAUUCUGUCCUUUGCUAGUGCCCUGUGCAAUCUAGCUGCUGUAGAUACUGUGGAGAUUUCUCCGCUGAAUUUGCAAAAAUUUUCUUUUUUCACCCUGCGGAUGGCAUGGUUGUAUGAAGUAAGUAACCUUUUGUAUUCUCCCCAGUUACUUGCUAUUCUAGCUUUGUUAAAUGCUUUCCUGGUUUCUUUCCUUAGUUUGCCCAGUUCUGCGUUCCACCAAGGUGGUUCUUGUCUACUUUUGGGACCUUCACAGGGCAACUUGACUCAUAUGCAUCAAUUAUAUUCCCUGUGAAUUCCAUAACUGCAAGUUCCUAUUUAUUGCAGGUUUUUGUACUCUCUUCACUGUUGCAUGGUUUAGACUAUGUCUUACCAUUUCCGUGUACCUGGCCCAGUCUGUUCCGAAAUGGUGUAGGGUCUGUCUUAUCUGAUUCGAUGUCAAUCCUUAUUAUUUUGUGGUCCGACAUCGACUCUUCACCUGAAACCCUCCAAUUUUUUAUCACUUUAUGUAGGGCUUGGCUACAAUGGUAAUAUCCAAUACUUCUCGUCUCACUUUGAUGACAAAGGUAGGGGUUGAUCCUAUAUUAAGUAUUUCUAAUUUUUCCUUCACCAAAAAUUCUAUGAGCAACACAUCGUUUGUUGUUGUUGGUGUUUCCCCAGCUUUGAUGGUGUGCUUUGGCAUCGCAUCCCAUCAGUAAAGGGAGGUUCUUCUUGCCGCAGUAGCUGGCUGUCUUCAUAGCUCUUCGGGGGAGGGUGGUUCUGCUCUCCUGGGAAGUAUGCCGAUGCUACCACUGCUUCCAGUUUCUUCCCAUCGGUUGUCAUCUCCACCUUGAUGGGAACUAAAUCUCUAGUCAUGAAUUCUGAAAGGGAGAGAUAAUAGUGUUUUUCCUAAUAAAUAUACAUGCACGGGGAUUAUCCUGUCUGGAAUCCCAUACAGCCUUACCAUCUUUGCAGGACAAACCUCUAAUUUGUCCUUUCCACUGUCAGCGUUCCUAGAUGAGAAUUGCCCAUAGAUGUUGCGCAGUGAACAUCCUAGUUGUUACUGCCGAGGCAGCUUUAGCAUGAUUGAUGUUCACCUGGGCUAUUCUCAUUUUCUUCAUAUAGAGUUAUUCUUUUGGGGGAGGAGGAGACAUCUCCUCACCCAAUAGCUCCUCCUCGAUGAGCAUUCUCAGCUCUAUCUGUAGAGGAAGAGGGGGGUCUGGGUUCCCAGGAUAACCUGGUCAACUUCCCUUUCGACAGUGUUUUCAAAGGUAGUCUCCGUGGGUGGAGGCAUUGCUGUUGGGGGCUGCUUCGUUUGAAUAGAUGGGGGGUGAUUCGGGUGGAGGUGUGGGAUUUCUCCCAUUUUGUAUCCUCCUCCCCCUGCCUUUUUCAGGCCCCUUACCAGGAUCCUCCUGAAACGAUAAUUGAGGGUGUGUCCUCUUUGAAUUAUCAUCUCUGCCGAGAUUUCAUCAAUGCUCAGGAUCAUGACAAUCCCAGGCCCCUCCGCUUUCACUGAGUGAACUUUCCACUCCUCAGUACAGAUUCCAUCGUUCUGUGCGUUGACCAAUACUAGUGUUCUCUGUUCUUCUCCUAGAUUUGUCCUAGGGAAGAACACUACAGUCGAGUGAGGUUUGGGAACAUUCCCCUACCCUCACUGCCAGCUUCUUUUCUUUGUUCAGCUCCAAUUUAGGGGUUAUCUCCUGUAGCCACUGUACAGUUUUGCCAUCUUGACAACAUGCCUGGCCUGAAGUGUAUGCCUUCGAACUUUAUUUUGGCUUCCCAUCCUUUUAUGAUAUCUUCAAGAGGGUUUCCUCUAGAUGGGUUAGCUCUUCCAUGGUUAUGAGGGGGUAUGCCUCUGGUAGCAAAGACACCCUUAUAAUCUUUGCUAUUCCAGCGUAGCUAACACCUGGAGCAACUUCUCUGGCCCUAUACUGUGACUGAGGUGUGGAUGGCUUUGCCUUCUUUUCUUUCCUUAAUUCUUUGGGGAUUAGAGAUUGUUCUCUUGCCUUCUUGCUGGAUGGAUGUGUCUCCAGUUUUUCCUUUUGGAUCUUGGCCUUUCUUUCGUCAGCCAUCUUCCUUGCUUCUUCGGGUGUAUUCCCAAUCUUAUCGCUCUCAGGUACCAUUUGGUCAUAGCGCCGCUAAGACCUUUCCUGAGAGGGUCAUCUUUCCCGCCUGGUUCUCCUAAUUUCGACAGUUUGGCAGAGACUUUUUUCUUCCCUUUUGGUUUCCCAAGAGGAGGGUCUGUAUUUUCUUGUGUCACUACCUGAACUCCUGAAGGCCCUUCAUUUGUGUGGUGAUUGGUUUCCCACGUAGCGACUGUUGUUUGUCUUUUGUUGGGAGAGGUCUUUUGCUUCCAUGGAAUAAACGUCCAUUCCACCAGAUUCCUAGGUGUUUUUGGAGCAGUGAGAUUCUGCUCCAGGUUUGGUUUAUUGGUUUCUAUACUCAUAUGAUUCUCACGAGUAGCUAGGGAACUAAAAGGUCCACUCCAUCAGAGCCCCGCAUGAUGGAGUAAGGCUAAUUACUCUCUGAUGUCGCCCGGUGUCAGAGAGGCUCCGUUCAAGACAGCCACUUAACCCCGGUUGCCAGUGAAUCACUCGGCACGGAAUGUAUGACACCUUUGAUUGGGGCGGAUGCGGUUUUCUGUCAAGCCCAAAACUCUUGUUAAAGGGUGAUAAGAUGGAAGGAGAGGGGUUGCUGGUAGGAUUCGGUUCGGCUGUUUAAUGUAAGAAAAAAAAUUAGAAAAUGAUGAAAUUAUAUUUUUAUAAAUAAAACGAUAUGAAGGUUUUCUAUUGUUCCUUGUAAUGACAAGGUUUCACUCAUGGAUAUCUAGUGUUAUCGAUUUAUUAAUAAAUAAUUGAAUUUUAAUUGUUUAAUUAAAGUGGUAAAGUUGUAAUAAUGUUAAAAAACUCGUUUAGCAUUUUUGGCGCUCGAUGUUGUUGGGAGGGGGUUGGCAAGUGAAAUUACAUCCAUAGCCGUUUUGUAAAUUUAUCUUUACGAAGAAAUACCGUUGGAUGAUUAUAUAUUAAAUAAAUCGAUAUUAAAAAAAUAUAAAAAUUUUACGCUUUAAUUUACAAAAAGAGCUUUUUUUAAACCGGCCAUGAUAGGGGGUUAUCCGUUGUUUACGAAGGUUGUAAUAAAGGCUACCGGGGACAGGUUAUCGGUCUCCAUGGUUUGUAAACAAAUGAAUCUGUCUUGAGCUGUUAGAUAUGAAAAAGUCCAGGCCUGUGGUUCAAGGCGGUCUCAGAAGGCAAAUAACAUUGCGAACACCCGGUACACUGUAGUAGCGAGAGGAUGGACAAGGAGUGCCUGCGAGUCGCUGGCCUCGCCGAGUACUCAUGCCAACAGUGCCAUUUCAAGUCAGUUUCGAAAGUGAACGUCGAAGCGCACACAAGCCUGGCACACUCCAAACCGGCACUAGUCGACCGCCGAGACAGACAGUACGCCUGCUCCGAAUGCUCAUACAUCUCGCUCCACAAGUCGUCCCUUGUCUCUCACAUGCACUCAAAACACAUCAUAUGGCGUUCCAAGGACAAUUCAUGAAGCAGAAGGAUGCCGUCAAUAAAACAAAAACUGACAAAUUUGUUUCAUACUGUUUGAAAAUUCAUAUAUUUCACACAUUUUUUAAUAUUUUUUAUUAAUUACACAAAGAGCUUCACGCUCUUUUCUUUUUCUGUUUUGA
Cimex lectularius (bed bug) is the source of this 4662-nucleotide long non-coding RNA. RefSeq lists it as uncharacterized. The record is from RefSeq and is a predicted model, not a curated record. Lineage: Eukaryota; Metazoa; Arthropoda; Insecta; Hemiptera; Cimicidae. The transcript is spliced from 3 exons.